RNAcentral lists this transfer RNA (63 nucleotides) under Halosydna sp. YZ-2018. RNAcentral's name for it is "tRNA-Cys". The record is from RNAcentral. RNAcentral also lists the same sequence under 1 other name. Lineage: Eukaryota; Metazoa; Annelida; Polychaeta; Phyllodocida; Polynoidae.
GGCCUUAUAGUUGAACAACAACAUUAAAUUGCAGAUUUAAAAGUGUAUUAUAUACUAAGGCUU